Molecule: non-coding RNA, 45 nt
Organism: Schistosoma haematobium
Lineage: Eukaryota; Metazoa; Platyhelminthes; Trematoda; Strigeidida; Schistosomatidae
Source: Rfam
AUCCAGUUGACGAGUCUCAGAGAGGACGAAACGCGCGUCCUGUAU